Molecule: ribosomal RNA, 252 nt
Filed under: uncultured bacterium
Lineage: Bacteria
Description: partial 16S ribosomal RNA
Rfam family: Bacterial small subunit ribosomal RNA
Source: RNAcentral
UACGGGGGGGCAAGCGUUGUUCGGAAUUCCUGGGCGUAAAGGGCUCGUAGGUGGCCAACUAAGUCAUACGUGAAAUCCCUCGGCUUAACCGGGGAACUGCGUCUGAUACUGGAUGGCUUGAGGUUGGGAGAGGGAUGCGGAAUUCCAGGUGUAGCGGUGAAAUGCGUAGAUAUCUGGAGGAACACCGGUGGCGAAGGCGGCAUCCUGGACCAAUUCUGACACUGAGGAGCGAAAGCCAGGGGAGCAAACGGG